CCCAGUGGUGGUCCCCCUUGGCAGGCACUGGCGCCAUAGGAGCCUGAGGGUAUCCCAGACUGAAAGCUAAGCAAGGUUGGGUCUGGCUGGGGCUUGGAUGGGGGACCACCUGGGAAGACUGGGAGCUGGAGGCU
Ribosomal RNA from Gorilla gorilla gorilla (western lowland gorilla), 134 nucleotides. The record is from Ensembl. Lineage: Eukaryota; Metazoa; Chordata; Mammalia; Primates; Hominidae.